RNAcentral lists this long non-coding RNA (1369 nucleotides) under Vulpes vulpes (red fox). Its description in RNAcentral is "lncRNA (ENSVVUG00000025765.1)". The record is from RNAcentral. Lineage: Eukaryota; Metazoa; Chordata; Mammalia; Carnivora; Canidae.
GUAAGAACCUGGGCUCGCCAGCCCUAACGGUAUGAACCCAGGUUCCAGGUUUAUGCUUCCAAGGAUUCCAGAACUCUUCGCAGCUCUCCACCCGGGAAGCGGCCAGACUGCUUCCCCCAUCCCUAGCCUGUCCGCCUGUCUGUCCAUUCACCUUGUGUAGCCCUCUGAGGCUCUGCUCACCUGUCCACCUAUAGGUUGUCUCUUUGCCUGAAGACUCUGCUCUUACCUGGAAGUCUGUGCCAAGGGUGAGUGAGACCCUGAGGAUAAAGAGCAAAGGGUGGAGAUGAAGGGACAGCUGAUAACUGGGAAGCGGAGGGAUCUGAGAGUGAUGGUGGAGAGGGGGCUGCUUCUCUGCAACCAGGACCUGUUGAAGGCUUUUGGCCAAAGUCCCUGCUAAUGCCGUUCUGUGCCCUUAGAGGGACAGAGCCAGGUGGGAAUGCAGCCAGCCAGGUCCCAGAAAGAUGUUAUCAACCUGGUCCUCCAAUACUGGCAAGGUGUGCUCCAGUGGCUUGUGCCUCAAGGGUCCAGAGGGGAGAUCUGCUUGGAGUUCAAAUUACUGCUACUAAUGAUCAUCAUGUCUAAUGUGCAAGUAAUGCCUCAGAGUUCUAAAAACACUGUGACUGUUCUGGAAGGAUGAUGUCACUCAAGAUAUGAAGACCUAGAAGAUAGAGCACAUGCCCAGGCUCCAUGCCUCAGGGACCAGCAUGAGGGAUGGGUAGACAGCCUUUUCCACCAAAACCACCACGCCCAGGUGUGUGAGGCCUGUGAUCUGUCCACACUGCCCAUGACCGGUAGACAGAACAAUUGGGAAGGGAAGGAGUGUCAGGGCACCAGGUAGGAGCUGUCUGAAGUCCAGUAAAUAGAAUGAAGAGAGCACCUGUCUGAUUCCAGCCAGAAGCAAUCCCAUGAUACCUUGGUGAUGUCUGCAGAGGGAGGGGAUUGGGAUGCUUGGCUACUAAUUGAUAUCCCUGGCUUAAUCUUUGUCUUCUAGGGACAAGUGCAAAGAGGAACUCUGUUGUUCCCUAAGGUGAGACUCCCUCAGGGAUUUUGAAAUUCCUCAUUUGGAUCCCAUCUCUUCUCCUCUGGGCCUUCUCACCAUUUUCUCUUCACCUUUGACUUCUGCCUUCCUUCCCGUCAGAGCCCAGUGACCAAGGUGAACAGGGAACAAUGCUUGAACUCUGAAAUGGUUUCAGAGGUCCCGAACCAAGAGAUGACCAACCAUGGCAAGGCCCCACUGCAGGUGAGGACCUGGCUUGUCCAGGAAGGCUGAGCCCACCCAGGGCCUGUUUAUAGAGGGAUGCAGGGUGAAGGAGGGCAUACACAUUGGUUGAUAAAUAAAUGACAAUACUUCACUGAGGCUGAUGGAGAA